Molecule: long non-coding RNA, 1356 nt
Filed under: Medicago truncatula (barrel medic)
Lineage: Eukaryota; Viridiplantae; Streptophyta; Magnoliopsida; Fabales; Fabaceae
Description: long non-coding RNA (MTRU_LNC001344)
Source: RNAcentral
GUGAACCUCUAGGGGUUGUAAUAAAAGAAACAACCACUAACAAGUCAGUUACCUCAACAUCUGACUUGUGAACCUCUAGGGGUUGUAAAAAAGAAACAACCAUUAACAAGUCAGUUACCUUAACAUUAAUUGAUAAGACGGAGAUAUAUUACUCCUAUAAACGGUGCCCCGUUUACCCUCCUUACAUGUCCCGUCAUAUAAUAGACGGAGGAAUUGCUUAGCUAAGCGGCCCUAACAUUCUCACUUAAAUCUAUCAAUCAUUUAAAUAAGUAUAUGGUAAAGACACUAACUUAAAAGAAAUUUCACAUCAACAUUCAUUGAACAUUACGAUUAAUGAACAAAUUAGAAUUCAAACUUCACAUCUCAUUCACUUUAAUUCCAUCAUUUCGAUCUAUAUCAUUUUUCUAAUCAUAUUAACAAGUAUCCAUAUCAUUGAACAAACAAGAAAGUCCAUCUUAACAUAUCAUUCCCUUCAAUCCACAAUAACAUUUAAUCAUAAUUAUUUCUUAUGCAUUUCAAUACUUACCUUAUUGUUCCACAUUCAGUUAGCGUCGAUCUAUUUGAUAUACUACUUCAAUUCUUAGUCAAAAGUUGCUACAUACAUAGUCCUCCUCAAGUCAUUAAGAUCAAUGUUGAGUAAAUUGAGUUAUAUCAUCACAUGAUAAGGAUACAAUGGCCAUACAUCAUACCUUAUUCACUUAUCACUAACAUAGGGAAAUUAUAUUUAAUCUUGCACCUAUUAUCAUUAUAACAUAAUACUUUGACAUUAAACUCGUCAAGCAACUUGUGUGCAUGUGAUUUUACACAAACAGUCCUAAACAUCUUAUUUUUCAAUAGUCAGACCUCAAAUUCGACAAUUUAAUUAAAAUAUCAAAUGAUGUCGGAUUUGAGUAAAUAAACACUUUUUAGAAAGCUUAGGAUGUGUAGAUUAUAAAUAUGAGUCUUAUUUUUCAUGAUAGUCAUCCAAUUAUUUCAGUUUAUUAGAUUAAGGUACCGAAAUACAAAAUAUGACAGCAACUUUUGUCUCAUUUUGUAACACAAUUUCAACUACCAUCCUUUAGUUAAUUACCAUGAAAAUUGAGUGUAAAAUGAAGGGAAACGAGUCUACUUUCCAACAAAAUCAGAAUUACUUAAAAAGGAUGUAUAAAUUGAAAGUUAUGAACAAAACAGUAGCAUGAUGUCAAAAUACGGGAUUGCAGAUUUAUACCAAAAAAUUACAACUUUCAACAUGCAACAACAUCAAUUUCUUAGAACUAAUAUGCAUGCAUUAUGACCUACAUACAUAAACUAAAAUUUCCAAUUUUCAUAAUCAAAAUCAUAAUCAAUGCAUGAGGGAUGAGGGAAAGGGAAACCCAC